Anguilla anguilla (European eel) is the source of this 144-nucleotide long non-coding RNA. RefSeq lists it as uncharacterized. The record is from RefSeq and is a predicted model, not a curated record. NCBI's taxonomy places the organism in Eukaryota, Metazoa, Chordata, Actinopteri, Anguilliformes, Anguillidae. The transcript has 2 exons.
GAAUUCAACAUGAUGGAUGACCUCUUUGAUGUCAUACUUCAAGAGGUCAUCAUCAGGAUCUUGGAAAAGAAUGAGGGCUUCAGCUGCUAUCGGGCAGAAUUUGCCAUGGCCCGUGGAUUUCACCAUUAAAGGCUGAAGAAAUGU